Molecule: non-coding RNA, 45 nt
Organism: Schistosoma mansoni
Lineage: Eukaryota; Metazoa; Platyhelminthes; Trematoda; Strigeidida; Schistosomatidae
Source: Rfam
ACCUUACUGACGAGUGUCAAAUAACACGAAACCCAGGUCCAAGGU